This is a long non-coding RNA of Melanotaenia boesemani (Boeseman's rainbowfish), 145 nucleotides long. RefSeq lists it as uncharacterized. The transcript has 3 exons. Lineage: Eukaryota; Metazoa; Chordata; Actinopteri; Atheriniformes; Melanotaeniidae. The record is from RefSeq and is a predicted model, not a curated record.
GUUGUAACCAUUUUUUCCUCUUCAGACUGUCCAGGAUAUAGUCCGGACCCUGCGGCAAGGAGGGAACACGGAUGAUGCAGAUGAAGCUGGAGGAUCUGAAAUCGUGCAAAAGGAGAGCUGGUGUACCACAGCCUGCAGCUGGUGG